This is a small nucleolar RNA of Nicotiana attenuata, 107 nucleotides long. It matches the Rfam family "Plant small nucleolar RNA R71". Rfam says of the family: R71 is a member of the C/D box family of snoRNAs containing the C (UGAUGA) and D (CUGA) box motifs. Multiple nearly identical copies of this snoRNA have been identified in Arabidopsis, and it is thought to function as a 2'-O-ribose methylation guide for 18S ribosomal RNA. NCBI's taxonomy places the organism in Eukaryota, Viridiplantae, Streptophyta, Magnoliopsida, Solanales, Solanaceae. The record is from Rfam.
AUUUCGCUAUGUUGACACUUUCUAACUAUCUCCUUAAACCUCUCCCAUGCUUUAAACACGGUUUCAAUCUCAUUUUGGUAGAAGUUUUGGAUUUCUCUUCUAAACCU